This 230-nucleotide ribosomal RNA is filed under the name uncultured bacterium. RNAcentral's name for it is "partial 16S ribosomal RNA". It matches the Rfam family "Bacterial small subunit ribosomal RNA", at positions 562 to 791 of the family's 1533-position model. The record is from RNAcentral.
AAAGGGUGCGUAGGCGGCUUGUUAAGUCAGAGGUGAAAGGCGGUAGCUUAACUAUCGGAGUGCCUUUGAUACUGAUGAGCUUGAAUGCAGCUGAGGUAGGCGGAAUGUGACAAGUAGCGGUGAAAUGCAUAGAUAUGUCACAGAACACCGAUUGCGAAGGCAGCUUACUAAAGUGUGAUUGACGCUGAGGCACGAAAGCGUGGGGAUCAAACAGGAUUAGAUACCCUAGU